AAAAAUUUAGUUAAGUUAUAACAUUAGUUUGUCAAGCUAAAAUCAUUUUUUAAAAAAUAAUUUUUA
RNAcentral lists this transfer RNA (66 nucleotides) under Staphylinidae sp. BMNH 1274636. RNAcentral describes it as "tRNA-Asp". It matches the Rfam family "tRNA". From Rfam's summary of the family: Transfer RNA (tRNA) molecules are approximately 80 nucleotides in length. Their secondary structure includes four short double-helical elements and three loops (D, anti-codon, and T loops). Lineage: Eukaryota; Metazoa; Arthropoda; Insecta; Coleoptera; Staphylinidae. The record is from RNAcentral.